GGAGAGAUGGCUCAGCAGUUAAGAGCACUGGCUGCUCUUCCAGAGGACCUGGGUUCAAUUCCCAGCCCCA
RNAcentral lists this transfer RNA (70 nucleotides) under Neotoma lepida (desert woodrat). It matches the Rfam family "tRNA". From Rfam's summary of the family: Transfer RNA (tRNA) molecules are approximately 80 nucleotides in length. The record is from Rfam by way of RNAcentral. Lineage: Eukaryota; Metazoa; Chordata; Mammalia; Rodentia; Cricetidae.